CCCCACCCCCUAGUGACGCCACUGCCUACAAGUUAUAAUUAGAAAUGACCAAGCCGAUGAAAUUAUUAUAUGUUGAUAAUUUAUCCUUUCUUUUUUUUCUACAUUCAAACAUUGUUAGUUUAAUCAUUUUUAUUGUGUUUGUAAAUUAUUUGUUAAUUAUGUUGAAUAUUGUAAACAUGAAAUGAUGACAGUUUGAUUCAGUGUUUAGAAUUAAAAACCUUUAGUAUGAAAAUUGAACAAUGCAAUUGUUUCUAUACAACUGUUUUUCAAUAUUGA
This is a non-coding RNA of Biomphalaria pfeifferi, 276 nucleotides long. The record is from the annotation of a GenBank genome assembly. Lineage: Eukaryota; Metazoa; Mollusca; Gastropoda; Planorbidae.